AGCUCCAAUAGCGUAUAUUAAAGUUGCUGCAGUUAAAAAGCUCGUAGUUGCAUUUCCGAGGCAAGGGAUUAGUCCGACCUUUGGUGGGUAUUUAAUCCUCUUGCCUCGUCCUUGAGUGGUGCUUCUUGGUAUUAAGUUAUCGAGGAGAUAGCCGCUCAUCGUUUACUGUGAGAAAAUUAGAGUGUUCAAAGCAGGCUUAUGCCGUUGAAUAUAUUAGCAUGGAAUAAUAAGAUAGGACCGCGGUACUAUUUUGUUGGUUUGAGAACCAAGGUAAUGAUGAAUAGGGACAGUUGGGGGUAUUCGUAUUCAGUGGUCAGAGGUGAAAUUCUUAGAUUUACGGAAGACGAACUACUGCGAAAGCAUUUACCAAGGAUGUUUUCA
RNAcentral lists this ribosomal RNA (381 nucleotides) under uncultured marine Chaetocerotaceae. RNAcentral's name for it is "SSU rRNA". It matches the Rfam family "Eukaryotic small subunit ribosomal RNA", at positions 587 to 972 of the family's 1831-position model. Lineage: Eukaryota; Bacillariophyta; Thalassiosirophyceae; Chaetocerotales; Chaetocerotaceae. The record is from RNAcentral.